GUGGUAUACGAUGGAUCCGCGUCUGAUUAGCCAGUUGGCGGGGUAACGGCCCACCAAAGCGACGAUCAGUAGCCGGCCUGAGAGGGUGAACGGCCACAUUGGGACUGAGACACGGCCCAAACUCCUACGGGAGGCAGCAGUGGGGAAUAUUGCACAAUGGGGGAAACCCUGAUGCAGCGACGCCGCGUGAGUGAAGAAGUAUCUCGGUAUGUAAAGCUCUAUCAGCAGGGAAGAAAAUGACGGUACCUGACUAAGAAGCCCCGGCUAACUACGUGCCAGCAGCCGCGGUAAUACGUAGGGGGCAAGCGUUAUCCGGAUUUACUGGGUGUAAAGGGAGCGUAGACGGCAGCGCAAGUCUGGAGUGAAAUGCCGGGGCCCAACCCCGGAACUGCUUUGGAAACUGUGCAGCUCGAGUGCAGGAGAGGUAAGCGGAAUUCCUAGUGUAGCGGUGAAAUGCGUAGAUAUUAGGAGGAACACCAGUGGCGAAGGCGGCUUACUGGACUGUAACUGACGUUGAGGCUCGAAAGCGUGGGGAGCAAACAGGAUUAGAUACCCUGGUAGUCCACGCCGUAAACGAUGAUUACUAGGUGUCGGGGGGCCAAGGCCCUCCG
RNAcentral lists this ribosomal RNA (611 nucleotides) under uncultured bacterium. RNAcentral's name for it is "bacterial SSU rRNA". It matches the Rfam family "Bacterial small subunit ribosomal RNA", at positions 215 to 842 of the family's 1533-position model. The record is from RNAcentral.